This 68-nucleotide transfer RNA is filed under the name Lepidopsocidae sp. RS-2001. RNAcentral's name for it is "tRNA-Ser". Lineage: Eukaryota; Metazoa; Arthropoda; Insecta; Psocodea; Lepidopsocidae. The record is from RNAcentral.
GAAAUAAGAUUUGAUCAAAUUAGAGCUGCUAACUCUAAGUCUAGCGGUUCAAUUCCGUUUUUAUUUCU